Molecule: regulatory RNA element, 100 nt
Organism: Halovivax ruber XH-70
Lineage: Archaea; Methanobacteriati; Methanobacteriota; Halobacteria; Halobacteriales; Natrialbaceae
Rfam family: L4-Archaeoglobi ribosomal protein leades
Source: Rfam
CUGAAGGCCGCGUCCGGGUCAAUUGCGGACUGCAACACCCGAUCUCCCUCAACGUACCACCGAAAAUGGUGGUCGAUGAGGGGGAGCGCGUGACCGUCAG